UUAGCGGCGGACGGGUGAGUAACACGUGGGUAACCUGCCUCAUAGAGGGGAAUAGCCUUUCGAAAGGAAGAUUAAUACCGCAUAAGAUUGUAGUACCGCAUGGUACAGCAAUUAAAGGAGUAAUCCGCUAUGAGAUGGACCCGCGUCGUAUUAGCUAGUUGGUGAGGUAACGGCUCACCAAGGCGACGAUACAUAGGGGGACUGAGAGGUUAACCCCCCACACUGGUACUGAGACACGGACCAGACUCCUACGGGAGGCAGCAUG
This 265-nucleotide ribosomal RNA is filed under the name uncultured bacterium. Its description in RNAcentral is "partial 16S ribosomal RNA". It matches the Rfam family "Bacterial small subunit ribosomal RNA", at positions 92 to 353 of the family's 1533-position model. The record is from RNAcentral.